GGGGAUGACAGGCAUCGACGGGAAUUUUGCACUUUUACAAAUCGUGAGGGCCGACCAAUCGGUUAAAUGGAAAAAAUCAACUGAUAAUGAGCAAUCUGAAGCAGCUGAAGCUUUCGCGUAUCGUAAUAUGGCUUUUGCCACUUUACAUGCCUAAAGUGUAAGCCUCUGAUUAAGUUUUCCUUAGUUCAAUUUAGUCGUGAGGUUAACCAACUAAGGUACGGUUUUUGGAAGUUGCAAUUGGUCCAAAAACCCGACAAUUUCAAUUGACAUUUUGCUCUGAUUUGAAUAUUUACGCAGGCAAAAUAGAGUUAUAAAUAUUUUAUCCCUCACUAAAAAUUUGUUUAAGUGUGUUCUCGGACGCGGGUUCAAAUCCCGCCAU
This 379-nucleotide transfer-messenger RNA is filed under the name Candidatus Roizmanbacteria bacterium CG11_big_fil_rev_8_21_14_0_20_35_14. It matches the Rfam family "transfer-messenger RNA". Rfam says of the family: Bacterial tmRNA, also known as 10Sa RNA or SsrA, is named for its dual tRNA and mRNA-like properties. Its role is to liberate the mRNA from a stalled ribosome. Lineage: Bacteria; Candidatus Roizmaniibacteriota. The record is from RNAcentral.